RNAcentral lists this transfer RNA (72 nucleotides) under Stegodyphus mimosarum. It matches the Rfam family "tRNA". From Rfam's summary of the family: Transfer RNA (tRNA) molecules are approximately 80 nucleotides in length. Their secondary structure includes four short double-helical elements and three loops (D, anti-codon, and T loops). Further hydrogen bonds mediate the characteristic L-shaped molecular structure. tRNAs have two regions of fundamental functional importance: the anti-codon, which is responsible for specific mRNA codon recognition, and the 3' end, to which the tRNAs corresponding amino acid is attached (by aminoacyl-tRNA synthetases). tRNAs cope with the degeneracy of the genetic code in two manners: having more than one tRNA (with a specific anti-codon) for a particular amino acid; and 'wobble' base-pairing, i.e. permitting non-standard base-pairing at the 3rd anti-codon position. Lineage: Eukaryota; Metazoa; Arthropoda; Arachnida; Araneae; Eresidae. The record is from Rfam by way of RNAcentral.
GCUUUCGGGGUGUAAAGGUAGCACACUCGGCUCGUAUUCGAGAGAUCCAGGGUUCCAGUCCCGGCGAGAGUA